Molecule: ribosomal RNA, 496 nt
Filed under: uncultured bacterium
Lineage: Bacteria
Description: partial 16S ribosomal RNA
Rfam family: Bacterial small subunit ribosomal RNA
Source: RNAcentral
AUGAACGCUGGCGGCGUGCCUAAUACAUGCAAGUCGAGCGAACAGACGAGGAGCUUGCUCCUCUGACGUUAGCGGCGGACGGGUGAGUAACACGUGGAUAACCUACCUAUAAGACUGGGAUAACUUCGGGAAACCGGAGCUAAUACCGGAUAAUAUAUUGAACCGCAUGGUUCAAUAGUGAAAGACGGUUUUGCUGUCACUUAUAGAUGGAUCCGCGCCGCAUUAGCUAGUUGGUAAGGUAACGGCUUACCAAGGCAACGAUGCGUAGCCGACCUGAGAGGGUGAUCGGCCAUACUGGAACUGAGACACGGUCCAGACUCCUACGGGAGGCAGCAGUAGGGAAUCUUCCGCAAUGGGCGAAAGCCUGACGGAGCAACGCCGCGUGAGUGAUGAAGGUCUUCGGAUCGUAAAACUCUGUUAUUAGGGAAGAACAGAUGUGUAAGUAACUAUGCACGUCUUGACGGUACCUAAUCAGAAAGCCACGGCUAACUACGUG